Molecule: ribosomal RNA, 254 nt
Filed under: uncultured bacterium
Lineage: Bacteria
Description: partial 16S ribosomal RNA
Rfam family: Bacterial small subunit ribosomal RNA
Source: RNAcentral
GACGUAGGGUCCGAGCGUUGUCCGGAAUUACUGGGCGUAAAGAGCUCGUAGGCGGUUUGUCGCGUCUGCUGUGAAAACUCGGGGCUUAACUCCGGGCCUGCAGUGGGUACGGGCAGACUAGAGUGCGGUAGGGGAGACUGGAAUUCCUGGUGUAGCGGUGGAAUGCGUAGAUAUCAGGAGGAACACCGAUGGCGAAGGCAGCACUCUGGCCGGUAACUGACGCUGAGGCGCGAAAGCUGGGGGGAGCGAACGGG